Molecule: ribosomal RNA, 433 nt
Filed under: uncultured bacterium
Lineage: Bacteria
Description: partial 16S ribosomal RNA
Rfam family: Bacterial small subunit ribosomal RNA
Source: RNAcentral
AACGAACGCUGGCGGCAUGCCUAACACAUGCAAGUCGAACGAGACCUUCGGGUCUAGUGGCGCACGGGUGCGUAACGCGUGGGAACCUGCCCUUAGGUUCGGAAUAACUCCCCGAAAGGGGUGCUAAUACCGGAUAAUGUCUUCGGACCAAAGAUUUAUCGCCUUUGGAUGGGCCCGCGUUGGAUUAGCUAGUUGGUAGGGUAAAAGCCUACCAAGGCGACGAUCCAUAGCUGGUCUGAGAGGAUGAUCAGCCACACUGGGACUGAGACACGGCCCAGACUCCUACGGGAAGCAGCAGUGGGGAAUAUUGGACAAUGGGCGAAAGCCUGAUCCAGUAAUGCCGCGUGAGUGAUGAAGGCCUUAGGGUUGUAAAGCUCUUUUACCCGGGAUGAUAAUGACAGUACCGGGAGAAUAAGCUCCGGCUAACUCCGUG